UUACCAAAAGUGCAGAUUCCCGGUCCCAUCUGGGCCGGGAAAUCAGCAUUCCAAACUUUAAACUAGGGGACUCUAGGGGUCUCUCUCUCUCUACCUGAAGAAUUUGGGGGAUUUUGCGAAUGACCUGAAGCCUGAGAGGAAGUGCAACACUGCAGGGCUCUCAGGAGCAGGUACCCUGCUGACGCCUGUGACUAGGCCUAACCGUCUGGGUUCUGCUCUAGACUCCUAGACGGCCUAACCGUCUGGGUUCUGCUCUAGACUCUCACCUGCCCGGAGGUGCGCUUGGGGUCCAGAUUGGCCGAUGAAUAUGUAUAUCCGCAGCGCCUCCUUCACUCCGAAGACUUUCACUUUCCCCCUUGCACAAAACCGAACAUCCCACCCCACCCCCACCUCCAAGCUAAAAUACCUGGGCCGCCCCUCCCCUCGAAGGGAAGCGCUCCAGGCGAAUGGGGAGGGCCCGGAAGUCGGGCCCGGGACAGAGGAGCCGGCCCACCGCCUCCCGGUCGGAAGCGGCAGUGCAGGUGAGGCCGCGGCCAGCCUGGGGACUGCGCGGGUGAGGAGCGGGAGGGCCGGCUGCACCGCGAAGUUGGCGGGGGACGGCCGCGCACGCCUCGCCUCGGCCUUCCUGCCCCGUAGGGGCUGGCCGCCCUCCCGCCACCCCUGGGCACCUGCCGACCACGUCUGGGCGGGGGCGGGCCGGCUCCUGCCCUCCGGCCCUCACCCCACCCCGGCCAGCCGCGGCGGGGACGCCGGGUCAGCGAAGGGUUAAGGGACUUGCUCCCUCCUCUCGGCUCCCUCACCCUUGGAAAGUCCCCGAAAUGACGUUUCAACCCGACAAUUUAAAAAAGAGUUUAAUUAUAGAGACAGGCUCUGGGAGCUGGAACAAACCCUCGGUCGGCGGGGCCGGUAAACAACUCGGGAGCGAGCGGACUAGGCCAGCCGCAGCCUUGCGGAGCCCGCGCCCCUGGGGAGAGGGGGAGGGGAGGGCCGCCGGGAGUUGGAAAAGCCGAGGAAAUUCGAGGAAUCAGCUUUCUUUGGAAAAACCCACUUUGUAGCCAUUCUGGGGCGCCUGAUGGUGCUCCUGGCCGGUCCCGCAGCCUUGGAGGGAAAGCGGCGCCGCCCGAAGCAGGGGCACAGCCGGUGCCCCGCGGGGACAGGCCCUGGGCCGGGAAGGGGCCCCGCCCGCUCCCAGUCCCCUUCCCCUUUGCUUUUUUCCAGCUCCUCCUCUGGUCUCCCAAGCUGAGCUUCGCGAACCCUCGGGAGUUAAAGACCCGCCGGCCCUUUCUUUUUGGGGGGUGGGGGAGCGGGAAUGGGUGGAGGCCGGGGGAAUAAAAAACCGAAAUAGCUUCACAUCAGAACUCAGACUAACCUUGUGGUUUCAACGCGCACCCUGCUCUGUCCUGAAAUCUGGAACUCAUUACCUCAUCACCAAGAAACUGCACGAAAUCUUCCCCCCCGCCCCAACACCCACUUGGGCUGGGAAAAGAACGAGCAAACAUCCCUCUAAGAAAGAAACCUGCACUUGAAUGAUUUAAAUUAAGGUGGAUGGAAGUUAUUUCCCUUUCUGGCGCUUGCCAGAUUUCAAGAAAAGCUGAAAAAUGGGAGCAGGGGGAGGGAAGCAACAGGCGGCUGCAGGGCAGCAGCCGGGUUAAAGUGAGGGCCAUCCAUUUCAGGCAGAGGAGACGAAUGAAAGCCGACCCCGCUGGGAUCACGUAGGUUCGUGGCUGCAGCAAAAGUUGUGUUUCGCAAAGUUGAAAAGCAACCGGUUUCUCGAACAGUUGUGAUUUGGAAGGUUUCGUUGGGUUUGCCCAGAUGUUGACGAAUAAAUAAGAAAUGCAUUAAAAAAAAAAAAAAAGUGUGUGUUGGGGGUGGUGAGAGUGUGACUCGAGCGCUCUCUUCUGCCCGCCCCGUCCUUUCCAAAGAAACGUGCUUAUGAUGGGGUGACCUAAUUACAUCGCAAUGGAACUCAAUCUUAGCCACACCAGCACCGGGUUUCAUAACAGAUUCGGCGGCCUCGAGUGCUGGGAAGAAACGUGCGAGGGCCGGGGGGGGGGGGGGGGGGGGGGGGGGGAAAGGGGAAAAAAGCGCCGCCCCGCGCCUCCCGCCGGGGUCAUCACACCAGCACUCGGGCCAAGGCGCAAGGGGCGGGUGGGGGACACGAUAACUUUUUAUUUGGGUGGGUGGCAUCCAAACCUAACAGGAUAUAUUUUAUCAUUUUCAAGGGAGUCAUGCUCCUUUGCGGGCCCUUCGGUUUCGUGGCUCCCGUGCCCCCCACUCCACCUCCCGCCAAAACGGCGCAGCGUGACAAGCCAUACGUUCCACUGCCAUGGGGGCGAGAGAGAAGUAACAAGUUUAAAGUGCCGCCUCCGUCCACCUCUUUACCUUCAUUCUUACCAAAGUAACCUUUUUUUCAUUGUUCUAGAGUCUUGAGGUGUGUGGGGGAGGAUGGGGGAGGAUGGAGGAGGAGGGAGGGUUGUGGCGCCGCCUAGAAUUCAGAGCGCGCGUGGAAAGUAGUGAGUUGCUCGGUGGGCUUUUUCUGGGAGGAAGGGGCAUUCAGGAAGGAUUAGGGUUUUCUUGACUAAAGUUUAAAGAUUGGAUGCGUGAAAAGAAACGCCACGCCUAGGCCUGGUAAAACAAUCGGCCCUGGUUGUGGUCUUUUUUUGCGACGCCCCCCACCCGCCCACACCCGGAGAGCGCCUGCUGCAAAGCGAGCGCGAGUAUGGACGCGUGCGGCGCGCUAAAUUGUGCCGCGCUCGCCCCCGCCAGGCCGUGUCCUCCUGGGGGAAAAAGUUUCCCUAGUCCCCCCCGCACCGCGCCCCACCCUACGCCCCGCUGAAAAAAAAAA
This is an RNA transcript of Piliocolobus tephrosceles (Ugandan red Colobus), 2845 nucleotides long. RefSeq lists it as uncharacterized. The record is from RefSeq and is a predicted model, not a curated record. Lineage: Eukaryota; Metazoa; Chordata; Mammalia; Primates; Cercopithecidae. The transcript has a single exon.